RNAcentral lists this transfer RNA (69 nucleotides) under Cynoglossus abbreviatus (three-lined tongue sole). RNAcentral describes it as "tRNA-Ala". It matches the Rfam family "tRNA". From Rfam's summary of the family: Transfer RNA (tRNA) molecules are approximately 80 nucleotides in length. The record is from RNAcentral. RNAcentral also lists the same sequence under 1 other name. Lineage: Eukaryota; Metazoa; Chordata; Actinopteri; Pleuronectiformes; Cynoglossidae.
AAGGUUUUAGCUUAAUUAAAGUGUCUGUUUUGCAUACAGGAGAUGUGGAUUAAUGAUCUGCAAAUCUUA